This 71-nucleotide transfer RNA is filed under the name Marmota marmota marmota (Alpine marmot). It matches the Rfam family "tRNA". From Rfam's summary of the family: Transfer RNA (tRNA) molecules are approximately 80 nucleotides in length. Their secondary structure includes four short double-helical elements and three loops (D, anti-codon, and T loops). RNAcentral also lists the same sequence under 1 other name. Lineage: Eukaryota; Metazoa; Chordata; Mammalia; Rodentia; Sciuridae. The record is from Rfam by way of RNAcentral.
AGGGGUGUAGCUCAGUGUAGGGUGUUUGCCUGGCAUGCAUAAGGCCCUGAGUUCGAUCCCCAGCACCACAC